GAUGAACGCUGGCGGCGUGCUUAACACAUGCAAGUCGAACGAUGAAGCCCAGCUUGCUGGGUGGAUUAGUGGCGAACGGGUGAGUAACACGUGAGUAACCUGCCCUUAACUCUGGGAUAAGCCUGGGAAACUGGGUCUAAUACCGGAUAGGAGCGUCCACCGCAUGGUGGGUGUUGGAAAGAUUUAUCGGUUUUGGAUGGACUCGCGGCCUAUCAGCUUGUUGGUGAGGUAAUGGCUCACCAAGGCGACGACGGGUAGCCGGCCUGAGAGGGUGACCGGCCACACUGGGACUGAGACACGGCCCAGACUCCUACGGGAGGCAGCAGUGGGGAAUAUUGCACAAUGGGCGCAAGCCUGAUGCAGCGACGCCGCGUGAGGGAUGACGGCCUUCGGGUUGUAAACCUCUUUCAGUAGGGAAGAAGCGAAAGUGACGGUACCUGCAGAAGAAGCACCGGCGAACUACGU
RNAcentral lists this ribosomal RNA (465 nucleotides) under uncultured bacterium. RNAcentral describes it as "partial 16S ribosomal RNA". It matches the Rfam family "Bacterial small subunit ribosomal RNA", at positions 28 to 506 of the family's 1533-position model. The record is from RNAcentral.